Molecule: ribosomal RNA, 253 nt
Filed under: uncultured bacterium
Lineage: Bacteria
Description: partial 16S ribosomal RNA
Rfam family: Bacterial small subunit ribosomal RNA
Source: RNAcentral
UACGUAUGGGGCAAGCGUUGUUCGGAUUCACUGGGCGUAAAGGGCUUGUAGGUGGUGGAGUAAGUCGGAUGUGAAAUCCCCGGGCUCAACCCGGGAACUGCAUUCGAAACUAUUCCGCUAGAGUACCGGAGAGGGAAACGGAAUUCCUGGUGUAGGGGUGAAAUCUGUAGAUAUCAGGAAGAACACCGGUGGCGAAGGCGGUUUCCUGGCCGGAUACUGACACUGAGGAGCGAAAGCUAGGGGAGCAAACAGG